GAAAUGCGAUAAGUAGUGUGAAUUGCAGAAUUCAGUGAAUCAUCUAAUCUUUGAACGCACAUUGCGCCCCUUGGUAUUCCAUGGGGCAUGCCUGUUCGAGCGUCAUUUGUACCCUCAAGCUCUGCUUGGUGUUGGGUGUUUGUCCCCGUCUCCGCGCGUGGACUCGCCCCAAAGUGAUUGGCAGCCGGCGUACUGGUCCCGGAGCGCAGCACAUGUCGCGCAAACGAGUGCCUUGGUACGGCGGCGUCCAUAAGCCCCUCUCUCACGCUCUUGACCUCGGAUCAGGUAGGGAUACCCGCUGAACUUAAGC
This 310-nucleotide unclassified non-coding RNA is filed under the name plant metagenome. RNAcentral describes it as "partial contains 5.8S ribosomal RNA, internal transcribed spacer 2, and large subunit ribosomal RNA". The stretch from base 1 to 105 matches the Rfam family "5.8S ribosomal RNA", at positions 50 to 154 of the family's 154-position model. The record is from RNAcentral.